RNAcentral lists this ribosomal RNA (613 nucleotides) under uncultured fungus. Its description in RNAcentral is "eukaryotic LSU rRNA". The stretch from base 219 to 372 matches the Rfam family "5.8S ribosomal RNA". The record is from RNAcentral. Lineage: Eukaryota; Fungi.
AAGUCGUAACAAGGUUUCCGUAGGUGAACCUGCGGAAGGAUCAUUACCAAGAGAAAUCUUUCAACACUGAAAGAUCUUUUCCUUUGUGCUGGCUUUGACCGUAUGUAAUUUUGGGACUUUAAAAUGGUUCGCAAGGGCCGGUCCCAAAAACAAUAUAUCAUCCUUAUGAAAUUUUUUCUGAACAAUUAAACAAAUGAUUUUAAUAAUCUGUUUAAAACAACUUUCAACAACGGAUCUCUUGGUUCUCGCAUCGAUGAAGAACGCAGCGAAAUGCGAUACGUAAUGUGAAUUGCAGAAUUCAGUGAAUCAUCGAAUCUUUGAACGCACAUUGCACUCCUUGGUAUUCCGAGGAGUAUGCCUGUUUCAGUAUCAUGAGCACUCUCACACCUAACCUUUGGGUUUAUGGCGUGGAAUUGGAAUGCGCCGACUGUCAUGGUUGGCCCUUCUAAAAUGUAGUUCUUGGCUGUCACCUAAUACAGCAGUUUGGCCUAAUAGUCUUGGCAUUCAUUGUCAAAUCUUUGGCUAACAUUUGCUCCAGGAGUCAGUCUUGAUAAUACAGAAAACUCAUUCAAAUUUUGAUCUGAAAUCAGGUAGGGCUACCCGCUGAACUUAA